UCUACUUCUCGGCCUUUUGGCUAAGAUCAAGUGUAGUACUUACAGUGGCUGCUGCUGCAGCCGGCCGAAAAAAAAUUCCAAUACCCCUCGUCUUUGAAAUGGGUGGAGGAAGCAGCAUGUUAACAUGUAUUUCUGUCGGGGUUGUGUGAGUGUGUGUGCUUGUUUGUUCUAGUCAUCAGCCAAUCAAA
Non-coding RNA from Nerophis lumbriciformis (worm pipefish), 188 nucleotides. NCBI's taxonomy places the organism in Eukaryota, Metazoa, Chordata, Actinopteri, Syngnathiformes, Syngnathidae. The record is from RefSeq and is a predicted model, not a curated record.